This is a non-coding RNA of Arachis ipaensis, 333 nucleotides long. NCBI's taxonomy places the organism in Eukaryota, Viridiplantae, Streptophyta, Magnoliopsida, Fabales, Fabaceae. The record is from RefSeq and is a predicted model, not a curated record.
GCGGAUUAUUCCCAGUUCCCCAUACACUUACGCAGUUGAAAGCUGGUGAGCAAAGUAAAGAGGGAACAUGCGUACGACAUGCUUAAGCGGGUCUUUUACUAUGAGGAUGAUGCCGGAGGAAAAAUAAAGUACGAUAUUUUGAAGAGAAUAGGAAAGAACUGGAAGGAUACAAGACACCACUUGUUUCAUAGGUAUUACAAACAAAUAAGAACUUAUGAGAAAAAUUUUCAGCAUCACCCGAAAGGAAUAGACAAAAAUGAUUGGAAAAAGUUCAUUGACUAUCGCCUGAAUGAAGAAACACAGGUAAGCCUUGGUAUAUUUUAUUAUUUCCAC